RNAcentral lists this ribosomal RNA (674 nucleotides) under Bacillus sp. (in: firmicutes). Its description in RNAcentral is "bacterial SSU rRNA". It matches the Rfam family "Bacterial small subunit ribosomal RNA", at positions 60 to 716 of the family's 1533-position model. Lineage: Bacteria; Bacillati; Bacillota; Bacilli; Caryophanales; Bacillaceae. The record is from RNAcentral.
AGUCGAGCGACUGAUUAGAAGCUUGCUUCUAUGACGUUAGSGGCGGACGGGUGAGUAACACGUGGGCRACCUGCCUGUAAGACUGGGAUAACUUCGGGAAACCGAAGCUAAUACCGGAUAGGAUCUUCUCCUUCAUGGGAGAUGAUUGAAAGAUGGUUUCGGCUAUCACUUACAGAUGGGCCCGCGGKGCAUUAGCUAGUUGGUGAGGUAACGGCUCACCAAGGSAACGAUGCAUAGCCGACCUGAGAGGGUGAUCGGCCACACUGGGACUGAGACACGGCCCAGACUCCUACGGGAGGCAGCAGUAGGGAAUCUUCCGCAAUGGACGAAAGUCUGACGGAGCAACGCCGCGUGAGUGAUGAAGGCUUUCGGGUCGUAAAACUCUGUUGUUAGGGAAGAACAAGUACAAGAGUAACUGCUUGUACCUUGACGGUACCUAACCAGAAAGCCACGGCUAACUACGUGCCAGCAGCCGCGGUAAUACGUAGGUGGCAAGCGUUAUCCGGAAUUAUUGGGCGUAAAGCGCGCGCAGGCGGUUUCUUAAGUCUGAUGUGAAAGCCCACGGCUCAACCGUGGAGGGUCAUUGGAAACUGGGGAACUUGAGUGCAGAAGAGAAAAGCGGAAUUCCACGUGUAGCGGUGAAAUGCGUAGAGAUGUGGAGGAACACCAGUGGC